AUGACAGCUGCAGCAAGAC
This 19-nucleotide unclassified non-coding RNA is filed under the name Mus musculus (house mouse). RNAcentral's name for it is "oocyte_clustered_small_RNA4300". Lineage: Eukaryota; Metazoa; Chordata; Mammalia; Rodentia; Muridae. The record is from RNAcentral.